RNAcentral lists this ribosomal RNA (491 nucleotides) under uncultured bacterium. Its description in RNAcentral is "partial 16S ribosomal RNA". It matches the Rfam family "Bacterial small subunit ribosomal RNA", at positions 28 to 507 of the family's 1533-position model. The record is from RNAcentral.
GAUGAACGCUGGCUACAGGCUUAACACAUGCAAGUCGAGGGGAAACGACGGGGAAGCUUGCUUCCCCGGGCGUCGACCGGCGCACGGGUGAGUAACGCGUAUCCAACCUGCCUCUGACUGAGGGAUAACCCGUCGAAAGUCGGCCUAAUACCUCAUGGCAUCGUCUGCGGGCAUCCAACGACGAUUAAAGAUUUCAUCGGUCAGAGAUGGGGAUGCGUCUGAUUAGCUUGUUGGCGGGGUAACGGCCCACCAAGGCGACGAUCAGUAGGGGUUCUGAGAGGAAGGUACCCCACAUUGGAGCUGAGACACGGUCCAAACUCCUACGGGAGGCAGCAGUGAGGAAUAUUGGUCAAUGGGCGAGAGCCUGAACCAGCCAAGUAGCGUGCAGGAUGACGGCCCUAUGGGUUGUAAACUGCUUUUAUGCGGGGAUAAAGUGAGGGACGUGUCCUUCAUUGCAGGUACCGCAUGAAUAAGGACCGGCUAAUUCCGUG